UUACCUGGUUUGAUCCUGCCAGUAGUCAUAUGCUUGUCUCAAAGAUUAAGCCAUGCAUGUCUAAGUGCAAGCCAAAGUAAGGUGAAACCGCGAAUGGCUCAUUAAAUCAGUUAUGGUUCCUUAGAUAAUACACCAAGUUACUUGGAUAACUGUGGUAAUUCUAGAGCUAAUACAUGCAAACAGAGUUCCGACUCGAGAGGGAAGGAACGCUUUUAUUAGAUCAAAACCAAUCGGUCUGCGCGCGCCUCGCGCGUGCGUGGGCCGCAUUGCUUUGGUGACUCUGAAUAACUACUAAGCAGAUCGCACGGUCUAGCACCGGCGACGCAUCUUUCAAAUGUCUGCCUUAUCAACUGUCGAUGGUAGGUUCUGCGCCUACCAUGGUUGUAACGGGUAACGGGGAAUCAGGGUUCGAUUCCGGAGAGGGAGCCUGAGAAACGGCUACCACAUCCAAGGAAGGCAGCAGGCGCGCAAAUUACCCACUCCCGGCACGGGGAGGUAGUGACGAAAAAUAACGAUACGGGACUCAUCCGAGGCCCCGUAAUCGGAAUGAGCACAACUUAAAUACUUUAACGAGUAUCCAUUGGAGGGCAAGUCUGGUGCCAGCAGCCGCGGUAAUUCCAGCUCCAAUAGCGUAUAUUAAAGUUGUUGCGGUUAAAAAGCUCGUAGUUGGACUUGUGUCCCACGCCGUCGGUUCGUCGCCCGUCGACGUAACCGCACGGUCAAUGACUAAGUGGGACGUCCAGCCGGUGAGGUGCAGGUCGUCCGUCGGGCGGGCCGCGUGCGCUGCGCGCGCGUCCACCUUCGCGGGUGGUCGUCGCGUCGUGGCCUCGUGGUUUCGCGCGCGGGCGGUGCCGACCUCAUUCUACUCGGCUCGGUGCUCUUAAUCGAGUGUCUUGCCGGGCCGGCUCGUUUACUUUGAACAAAUUAGAGUGCUUAAAGCAGGCUGUAAACGCUUGAAUAUUGUGUGCAUGGAAUAAUGGAAUAGGAUCUCGGUUCUAUUUUGUUGGUUUUCUGAACCAGAGAUAAUGAUUAAUAGAGACUGACGGGGGCAUUCGUAUUGCGACGUUAGAGGUGAAAUUCUUGGAUCGUCGCAAGACGAACCGAAGCGAAAGCGUUUGCCAAGAACGUUUUCUUUAAUCAAGAACGAAAGUUAGAGGUUCGAAGGCGAUCAGAUACCGCCCUAGUUCUAACCAUAAACGAUGCCAACUAGCGAUCCGCCGGUGUUCCUCCGAUGACCCGGCGGGCAGCUUCCGGGAAACCAAAGUGUUUGGGUUCCGGGGGAAGUAUGGUUGCAAAGCUGAAACUUAAAGGAAUUGACGGAAGGGCACCACCAGGAGUGGAGCCUGCGGCUUAAUUUGACUCAACACGGGAAACCUCACCAGGCCCGGACACUGGAAGGAUUGACAGAUUGAUAGCUCUUUCUUGAUUCAGUGGGUGGUGGUGCAUGGCCGUUCUUAGUUGGUGGAGCGAUUUGUCUGGUUAAUUCCGAUAACGAACGAGACUCUGGCCUGCUAACUAGUCGCGCAAUCAAACGACAUCCGCAUUCGUGCUGUCGGCGACAACAAUAAACUCUUCUUAGAGGGACAGGCGGCUUCUAGCCGCACGAGAUUGAGCAAUAACAGGUCUGUGAUGCCCUUAGAUGUUCUGGGCCGCACGCGCGCUACACUGAAGGGAUCAACGUGUGUCUCACCCCUUGGCCGAGAGGUCCGGGUAACCCGCUGAACCCCCUUCGUGCUAGGGAUUGGGGCUUGCAAUUCUUCCCCAUGAACGAGGAAUUCCCAGUAAGCGCGAGUCAUAAGCUCGCGUUGAUUACGUCCCUGCCCUUUGUACACACCGCCCGUCGCUACUACCGAUUGAAUGAUUUAGUGAGGUCUUCGGACCGUCGCGCGGCAGCGCACGCAAGUGCCUGCCGAUGUCGACGGAAAGAUGAUCAAACUUGAUUAUUUAGAGGAAGUAAAAGUCGUAACAAGGUUUCCGUAGGUGAACCUGCGGAAGGAUCAA
This 2001-nucleotide ribosomal RNA is filed under the name Austrocercoides zwicki. RNAcentral's name for it is "SSU rRNA". It matches the Rfam family "Eukaryotic small subunit ribosomal RNA". The record is from RNAcentral. Lineage: Eukaryota; Metazoa; Arthropoda; Insecta; Plecoptera; Notonemouridae.